CAGUCUCUCGGAGGUGGAGGGGGCGGUGGAGGUGGAGGUGGAGGAGGAGGAGGAGGAGGCGGCGGCGGCGGAGGUGGCGGCGGUGGAGGCGGUGGUGGUGGUGGUACUGGAGGAGGAGGUGGGGGUGGAGGAAACUAGAUUGCCUUGUUGCUCAUCACUUGUCUCUGUUUCAAUCGUUUCAAUCAUUCUGGGAUGGUGGAGGUAGCCGUAUCUAUGUUCAUGUUUAUGGCCAAGCCAUGCAUGUUUAUGCAUGCAUGUGUGUAGUGCAAAGAUGAAUAAGGACGUCGAGCUAAAUCUAUGCAACCCUCGACGUGGUGUGAUUGUAUUUUGUAUUUGAAUCUUGUGAAGCAUGUGUGUGUGUGUCAUGUACUCAGUUAUAUUAUGUGGUGCUCUCACAUUACAUAUGAUAUGUCCUCCUGUGCUUGGGCUGCUGGCCGCUACAGAUAUUCAUCAUCCAAAUUUUUGCUUGACUUGACUAUACAUUAGUCUAGAUUUUUCUUCCACAUAUGGCGCAAAAAUGUAUCAUCUCGAGCUAUCUCCCUCCGCUACUUUGUUGCAACCUGCAACCAUGGGGCACAGGGUGGCUGAUUUUGCUGAAAUAUGUAACUUCUAUAAGCACUGAAGAUAGAGAUUCAAACAUUCUGGCCGCAUAUCUGUCCUCCCGGUUCAUAAUGUCCCAUUCUUCAUUCCAAUGCC
Molecule: long non-coding RNA, 696 nt
Filed under: Zea mays
Lineage: Eukaryota; Viridiplantae; Streptophyta; Magnoliopsida; Poales; Poaceae
Description: long non-coding RNA (ZMAY_LNC002128)
Source: RNAcentral